Molecule: ribosomal RNA, 525 nt
Filed under: uncultured bacterium
Lineage: Bacteria
Description: bacterial SSU rRNA
Rfam family: Bacterial small subunit ribosomal RNA
Source: RNAcentral
AUGGCUCAGGACGAACGCUGGCGGCGUGCCUAAUACAUGCAAGUCGAACGGCUUUUCUAUGGAAGCUUGCUUCCACUGAGAAGAUAGUGGCGAACGGGUGAGUAACACGUGGGUAACCUGCCCAUAAGAGGGGGAUAACAUCCGGAAACGGUGCUAAUACCGCAUAGUUUUCUUGAUCGCAUGAUCGGGAAAGGAAAGACGGCCUUUGUGCUGUCGCUUAUGGAUGGACCCGCGGCGUAUUAGUUAGUUGGUGAGGUAACGGCUCACCAAGACGAUGAUACGUAGCCGACCUGAGAGGGUGAUCGGCCACAUUGGGACUGAGACACGGCCCAAACUCCUACGGGAGGCAGCAGUAGGGAAUCUUCCGCAAUGGACGAAAGUCUGACGGAGCAACGCCGCGUGAGUGAAGAAAGGUUUUCGGAUCGUAAAACUCUGUUGUCAGAGAAGAACAAGUUGGAGAGUAACUGCUCCAGCCUUGACGGUAUCUGACCAGAAAGCCACGGCUAACUACGUGCCAGCCGCAGC